RNAcentral lists this transfer RNA (73 nucleotides) under Candidatus Arsenophonus lipoptenae. Its description in RNAcentral is "Arsenophonus symbiont of Lipoptena fortisetosa tRNA". It matches the Rfam family "tRNA". From Rfam's summary of the family: Transfer RNA (tRNA) molecules are approximately 80 nucleotides in length. Their secondary structure includes four short double-helical elements and three loops (D, anti-codon, and T loops). The record is from Rfam by way of RNAcentral. Lineage: Bacteria; Pseudomonadati; Pseudomonadota; Gammaproteobacteria; Enterobacterales; Morganellaceae.
GGGGCUAUAACUCAGAUGGUAGAGUACUUGUAUGGCAUACAAGUGGUCAGCGGUUCGAUUCCGCUUAGCUCCA